This 253-nucleotide ribosomal RNA is filed under the name uncultured bacterium. RNAcentral's name for it is "partial 16S ribosomal RNA". It matches the Rfam family "Bacterial small subunit ribosomal RNA", at positions 524 to 776 of the family's 1533-position model. The record is from RNAcentral.
UACAGAGGCCUCAAGCGUUAAUCGGAAUCACUGGGCUUAAAGCGUGCGUAGGCGGACAUACAAGCAUGUUGUGAAAUCCCAUGGCUCAACCAUGGAACUGCUUCGUGAACUGCAUGUCUUGAGACAAGUAGGGGUGGUCGGAACGAUAGGUGGAGCGGUGAAAUGCGUAGAUAUCUAUCGGAACACCGAAGGAGAAGUCAGGCCACUGGGCUUGUUCUGACGCUGAGGCACGAAAGCGUGGGGAGCAAACGGG